Molecule: long non-coding RNA, 380 nt
Organism: Bufo bufo (common toad)
Lineage: Eukaryota; Metazoa; Chordata; Amphibia; Anura; Bufonidae
Exons: 4
Source: RefSeq, a predicted model, not a curated record
GUAAAACCUAGAAUAUAAGGGCUCCAGAGAGAUUUAGGUCACGUGGUGGUGAAAAGUAACAUUUAGGACUGGGAAGAACCCUGAGCCCAAUCUCUGGGCUGACAUCUCACCCCGAUACAUGAGAAACUCCAUAGAGAGAGGAUCCUAGAGCUCACCAACAAGAUCAUUGAGCUGCUGACUGGAGAGGUUCCUAUAAGGUGUCAGGAUGUCGCUGUCUAUUUCUCCAUGCAGGAGUCUGAGUAUUUAGAAGGACACAAAGGUCUGUACAAGCAUGUCAUGAUGAAGGAUCACCAGCCCCUCAUAUUACCAGUUAAAGAAGAGAGAACAAUACCGGAGAGAUGUCCCAGUCCUCUUCUUCAACAGGCUGAUUUAGAAGUGCA